Molecule: ribosomal RNA, 789 nt
Filed under: uncultured bacterium
Lineage: Bacteria
Description: bacterial SSU rRNA
Rfam family: Bacterial small subunit ribosomal RNA
Source: RNAcentral
AGAGUUUGAUCCUGGCUCAGGAUGAACGCUAGCGGCAGGCCUAAUACAUGCAAGUCGAACGGGCUGGAGUAGCAAUACUCCAGUUAGUGGCGCACGGGUGCGUAACGCGUAUGCAACCUACCUUUUAUUGGGGGAUAGCCCGAAGAAAUUCGGAUUAAUACCGCAUAAUAUCAUUUGAGGGCAUCUGAAGAUGAUUAAAGCUACGGCGAUAAAAGAUGGGCAUGCGUGACAUUAGCUAGUUGGUGGUGGUAACGGCACACCAAGGCGACGAUGUCUAGGGGUUCUGAGAGGAUGAUCCCCCACACUGGUACUGAGAUACGGACCAGACUCCUACGGGAGGCAGCAGUAGGGAAUAUUGGGCAAUGGCGGAAACGCUGACCCAGCCAUGCCGCGUGCAGGAUGAAGGCCUUCUGGGUUGUAAACUGCUUUUACCAGGGAAGAAAAUACCUUUGCGAAGGGAACUGACGGUACCUGGUGAAUAAGCACCGGCUAACUCCGUGCCAGCAGCCGCGGUAAUACGGAGGGUGCAAGCGUUGUCCGGAUUUAUUGGGUUUAAAGGGUGCGUAGGCGGCUUGAUAAGUCCGUGGUGAAAGCCAACAGCUCAACUGUUGAACUGCCAUGGAUACUGUCAGGCUUGAGUACAGACGAGGUAGGCGGAAUGGAUCGUGUAGCGGUGAAAUGCAUAGAUACGAUCCAGAACUCCGAUUGCGAAGGCAGCUUACUAGGCUGUAACUGACGCUGAGGCACGAAAGCGUGGGGAGCGAACAGGAUUAGAUACCCCAGUAGUCC